AGUUUGAUCAUGGCUCAGAUUGAACGCUGGCGGCAGGCCUAACACAUGCAAGUCGAGCGGAAACGAGUUAUCUGAACCUUCGGGGAACGAUAACGGCGUCGAGCGGCGGACGGGUGAGUAAUGCCUGGGAAAUUGCCCUGAUGUGGGGGAUAACCCUUGGAAACGAUGGCUAAUACCGCAUAAUAGCUUCGGCUCAAAGAGGGGGACCUUCGGGCCUCUCGCGUCAGGAUAUGCCCAGGUGGGAUUAGCUAGUUGGUGAGGUAAUGGCUCACCAAGGGCGACGAUCCCUAGCUGGUCUGAGAGG
This 304-nucleotide ribosomal RNA is filed under the name bacterium B7(2012). Its description in RNAcentral is "bacterial SSU rRNA". It matches the Rfam family "Bacterial small subunit ribosomal RNA", at positions 10 to 299 of the family's 1533-position model. The record is from RNAcentral.